GGUGGGGGAUGGGCUCGCGGCCUAUCAGCUUGUUGGUGGGGUGAUGGCCUACCAAGGCGGUGACGGGUAGCCGGCCUGAGAGGGUGGACGGUCACACUGGGACUGAGACACGGCCCAGACUCCUACGGGAGGCAGCAGUGGGGAAUAUUGCACAAUGGGCGCAAGCCUGAUGCAGCGACGCCGCGUGAGGGAUGGAGGCCUUCGGGUUGUGAACCUCUUUCGCCAGUGAAGCAGGCCUGCCUCUUUUUGUGGGUGGGUUGACGGUAGCUGGAUAAGAAGCGCCGGCUAACUACGUGCCAGCAGCCGCGGUAAUACGUAGGGCGCGAGCGUUGUCCGGAAUUAUUGGGCGUAAAGAGCUCGUAGGCGGCUGGUCGCGUCUGUCGUGAAAUCCUCUGGCUUAACUGGGGGCUUGCGGUGGGUACGGGCCGGCUUGAGUGCGGUAGGGGAGACUGGAACUCCUGGUGUAGCGGUGGAAUGCGCAGAUAUCAGGAAGAACACCGGUGGCGAAGGCGGGUCUCUGGGCCGUUACUGACGCUGAGGAGCGAAAGCGUGGGGAGCGAACAGGAUUAGAUACCCUGGUAGUCCACGCCGUAAACGUUGGGCACUAGGUGUGGGGGGCCUUUUCCGGGUCUUCCGCGCCGUAGCUAACGCAUUAAGUGCCCCGCCUGGGGAGUACGGCCGCAAGGCUAAAACUCAAAGGAAUUGACGGGGGCCCGCACAAGCGGCGGAGCAUGCGGAUUAAUUCGAUGCAACGCGAAGAACCUUACCAAGGCUUGACAUGUGCCGGUCUGCUCCGGAGACGGGGUUUCCUCCCUUGUGGGGGCUGGUUCACAGGUGGUGCAUGGUUGUCGUCAGCUCGUGUCGUGAGAUGUUGGGUUAAGUCCCGCAACGAGCGCAACCCUUGUCUCGUGUUGCCAGCACGUUGUGGUGGGGACUCGCGGGAGACUGCCGGGGUCAACUCGGAGGAAGGUGGGGAUGACGUCAAAUCAUCAUGCCCCUUAUGUCUUGGGCUUCACGCAUGCUACAAUGGCCGGUACAGAGGGCUGCGAUACCGUGAGGUGGAGCGAAUCCCUUAAAGCCGGUCUCAGUUCGGAUCGGUGUCUGCAACUCGACACCGUGAAGUUGGAGUCGCUAGUAAUCGCAGAUCAGCAACGCUGCGGUG
This 1162-nucleotide ribosomal RNA is filed under the name Actinomyces sp. CM84. Its description in RNAcentral is "bacterial SSU rRNA". It matches the Rfam family "Bacterial small subunit ribosomal RNA", at positions 217 to 1364 of the family's 1533-position model. Lineage: Bacteria; Bacillati; Actinomycetota; Actinomycetes; Actinomycetales; Actinomycetaceae. The record is from RNAcentral.